RNAcentral lists this ribosomal RNA (484 nucleotides) under uncultured bacterium. Its description in RNAcentral is "partial 16S ribosomal RNA". It matches the Rfam family "Bacterial small subunit ribosomal RNA", at positions 29 to 507 of the family's 1533-position model. The record is from RNAcentral.
AUUGAACGCUGGCGGCAUGCUUUACACAUGCAAGUCGAAUGGCAGCGCGGGCUUCGGCCUGGCGGCGAGUGGCGAACGGGUGAGUAAUACAUCGGAACGUGCCCAGUAGUGGGGGAUAGCUCGGCGAAAGCCGGAUUAAUACCGCAUACGACCUGAGGGUGAAAGCGGGGGAUCUUCGGACCUCGCGCUAUUGGAGCGGCCGAUGGCAGAUUAGCUAGUUGGUGGGGUAAAGGCCUACCAAGGCGACGAUCUGUAGCUGGUCUGAGAGGACGACCAGCCACACUGGGACUGAGCCACGGCCCAGACUCCUACGGGAGGCAGCAGUGGGGAAUGUUGGACAAUGGGCGAAAGCCUGAUCCAGCAAUGCCGCGUGUGUGAUGAAGGCCUUCGGGUUGUAAAGCACUUUUGGCGGGAACGAAAAGGACUGUGCCAAUACCACGGUUCGAUGACGGUACCCGCAGAAUAAGCACCGGCUAACUACGUG